This 691-nucleotide ribosomal RNA is filed under the name uncultured bacterium. RNAcentral describes it as "bacterial SSU rRNA". It matches the Rfam family "Bacterial small subunit ribosomal RNA", at positions 32 to 715 of the family's 1533-position model. The record is from RNAcentral.
AACGCUAGCUACAGGCUUAACACAUGCAAGUCGAGGGGCAGCAUAAAAGUAGCAAUACUUUGGUGGCGACCGGCGCACGGGUGAGUAACGCGUAUGCAACCUACCUAUCAGAGGGGAAUAACCCGGCGAAAGUCGGACUAAUACCGCAUAAAACAGGGGCACCGCAUGGUGAUAUUUGUUAAAGAAAUUCGCUGAUAGAUGGGCAUGCGUUCCAUUAGGUAGUUGGUGAGGUAACGGCUCACCAAGCCGACGAUGGAUAGGGGAACUGAGAGGUUGGUCCCCCACACUGGUACUGAGACACGGACCAGACUCCUACGGGAGGCAGCAGUGAGGAAUAUUGGUCAAUGGGCGAGAGCCUGAACCAGCCAAGUCGCGUGAAGGAAGAAGGAUCUAUGGUUCGUAAACUUCUUUUGCAGGGGAAUAAAGUGCAGGACGUGUCCUGUUUUGUAUGUACCCUGAGAAUAAGGAUCGGCUAACUCCGUGCCAGCAGCCGCGGUAAUACGGAGGAUCCGAGCGUUAUCCGGAUUUAUUGGGUUUAAAGGGUGCGUAGGUGGUUUGAUAAGUCAGCGGUGAAAGUUUGCAGCUUAACUGUAAAAAUGCCGUUGAAACUGUCGGACUUGAGUGUAAAUGAGGUAGGCGGAAUGCGUGGUGUAGCGGUGAAAUGCAUAGAUAUCACGAAGAACUCCGAUUG